GACACAAGCUGCUGGAUAUCGAGAGGAAUACAUCCGCGGAAGAAGAUGCAAGCAGCUGGACGUCAAGAGGACGUCGAGGGGAGCAAACCAGUGGAAGAGCACACGACGCUGGCACACCGGCAGGCCAUCAGAGUUCGGCCGGGGUAGUCGGAGGAGAGCCCUGGUGCUGAGUGGCUCAACUCCAGGGGAAAACCAUCUCCCUUCUGGCUUCACCAUCUGCUGAGAGCUACUUCCACUCAAUAAAACCUUGCACUCAUUCUCCAAGCCCACAUGUGAACUGAUUUUUCCAGUACACCAACGCAAGAAACCUCAGGAUACAGAAAGCCCUCUGUCCUUCCAAUAAGGCAGGGGGUUCUAAUUGAGCUAACACAAGGCACCUACGGAUGCCUAAAUUAAAGAGCAAACUUGUAACACACGCCCACUAGAGCUUCAGCUGCAAACCGCUAGACACUGCCGUGGGGUCAGAGCCCCACAGCCUGCCGGUCUGUAUGCUCCCCUAGAGGUUUGAGCAGCUGGGCAAUGAAGAGGUGAGCUACAACUCCCAGUGCACACCCUGCGAGGGGGACAAGGGAACUUUUCCUGUUUUAGAAAUACCAAAGCACAAUCAACCCAUCAAACGAAAAAAACAACAACAGCCUAAAAGACAAGGUUGAUGUGGAGGAGAAAAAAAAGGUCUCGCUCUGCCACCCAGGCUAGGAGUGCAGUAGAGUGACUACAGUUCACAGCAGACUCAACCUUCCAGGCUCAAGCAAUCCUCUCACCUCGGCCUCCCAAGUACCUGGGACUACAGGCACACUCCACCAUUCCCAGCUAAUUUUUGUAUUUUUUGUAGAGACAUGGUUUUGACAUAUUGUCCAGGCUGGUCUUUUACUGUCAAAUUGCUAUAUUUUAUUGCUUUUGUUUUUGAAUAUUUUUGAUCCAUGAUUGAGUCCAUGAACAUGGAACCUGUGGACAUGGAGGCCCAACAAUAGUACUUAAUGUCUUUCUAACACAGCUACCUUAUGAACUCUGGAAAAAAUUGUAUGCCAGCCAAAGCAGUGGAACAACCAUAUUCUACUCACUGGAUUGUCCUCAACUGUUCAACAAUACCUCCCAAACUUGUUCCUGACUUCCGCCCAACAUGCAAUGACUCCAUUCUCAUUGUGCUCUUACCUGUUUCACUUAGUUGGAUUAUUUCUGUUCAAAAAUAUGUUUGAUUUUUAAAACUCAGGCUUUCACAGCUUUUAAAAGUUGUAUAAACCACUGUAUUUGUUUGAUAGAUGUGGGUGAAUUUGGCUUCCUACAAAGCAAUAACAAAUCAUCCACAUAGGAAAGUUACCAUUUCUGCAGAUGGAAAAAUGUGUACCUUGCUUCUCAUAUCAUUGUUUUCAUUUUGCAAGAUAUGAAUUUCUUGAAUAGUGGUAUCACCUACAAUUACUUAAAA
RNAcentral lists this long non-coding RNA (1423 nucleotides) under Homo sapiens (human). RNAcentral describes it as "HSALNT0297331". The record is from RNAcentral. Lineage: Eukaryota; Metazoa; Chordata; Mammalia; Primates; Hominidae.